GAACAGGCAAAUAAAAAAAAAUCAUUAAAACAUAACGACAACGAGCAGAGUUACACUAAUAGAGUGUAACUUUGUGGGAGUCUUUAUUUGUGUGGAGUUCAUUUGUUCAGUUGGAGGAGUAGAACAAGAAAAACUGGAAAAUUUAAAUACUGACAGGAGGGAGGAGUUCUUGUGGUUAGAAUUUCAAUGAAAUCAUUUGAAUGUAGAGCAUUAGUCCCUCCUCUGAUGUAGUAUAAGAGAUCCUAACUUUCAAUGCUCCUUGUUUUUUCCACCUUUUCAGAAUCAGAGAAGUUCCUGAAAGAAUCACGGGAGUUCCACAGACCAAAGUUUGCUGAUACUUAAGAAGAUACAAGACAUCUGUUUCCACUACACAAUGAGAAUUUAUUUGGUGCAAGCCUGGCGAUACCUAAUUAAGGACUGGAGACAGCUGGGAUCAACUGGCCAUUCCAGAAGAAUGAUUACCAGGCUGCUGAACGCUGCCUACCGAAGCCCUAUGCAGCGUCUAAGAACUCGUCCACAAACUCUAUCCGGUCCAGUGACUUUGUUGGGUUUGAUGUGGCUCAGGGGUCGCUUCAUUUCGUGGGUCCCUGUCACCAAUGCAGAUGAUGGUACUGCCAAUGGAGAGAAACCUUCUGUUUUAGGCUGGUUCACAUGGAUUUUUAUAACUCCUUCCAAGUACCCAGACAUCAUCUCCAACAGUGAUCUGAAUCAAAGGACCUCCUGCUGUCUACCAGCUGAG
Molecule: long non-coding RNA, 739 nt
Organism: Haplochromis burtoni (Burton's mouthbrooder)
Lineage: Eukaryota; Metazoa; Chordata; Actinopteri; Cichliformes; Cichlidae
Exons: 4
Source: RefSeq, a predicted model, not a curated record